Long non-coding RNA from Macaca mulatta (Rhesus monkey), 1640 nucleotides. The record is from Ensembl. Lineage: Eukaryota; Metazoa; Chordata; Mammalia; Primates; Cercopithecidae.
CAGCCCCUCCAGCAGAACUUCCUCAUUGGUCGGCAAGAGAAAACAAAGCUGGGCUCUGAUUGGUGACAGCUCUGUAGUUCCUCCUCCUACCCGCAGUCCCCGCAAGUUCCGCCCCUGCCCGCCUGGUUCGCUAGCCCUUGGUUCCCCACACCCAGGUGGCUGCAGGCUGGGGUGUGUUUCAUGGACGAGCAACCUCCCUGAAGAGAACCCCGUUUCCCAGGUUCAUUCGCCAGAUGCGCAUUUUCUUAAACUCCUGCGAUUCUCUAAUUUCAGUAUGAACUUGAGACACCAGUAAAAUGAGCAUUCAUUCAUUAAGCCAAUCCAUCAGGAAUACAUCCAGGAAGAACCUACUGUUUACUAGGAAUAGGUUAGAUCUGUGGAUAUAACAAUGAAUAAGACAAGACUCUGGUGGAUCUAUAGAGAAACUAUUACUGCACAGAUGAUGGGGAAAUCAAAAGUACUAUGGGGCCAAGGAGACUGUCCUGCAGCAAAUGAGGAAUAAGCUGAAAAAUCAGUAGGAGCCAUCCCAGAGAAAAGGGACAGGGUUCUAGACCCAGAGAACAACAGAAGAGCAUUCAGCUCCUGCGAGGGAGCAGGGAAUCUAAUGCAAAGCCAUAGGGACCAUUGCAUAACGAGUCAACUUUCCCCACAUCACAAGCUUGCCUAGCCUGGAUGGACCCAGAAUGUUAAAACAAAUGUCUAAUUAGUAACGACAUUCUGAAUGCCUGGGAGCUGGGCAAAAUAUGAGGAGAAGCAAGCUGAUUUUUGUUUCGUAUUAUUAUCUCCUUUAUUCCAGCAACAAAAGACACUGAAAAGAGUAAAUGCCCACUUUUAACCAUGACAAUCCUUUUAGGAUAGUAACAGUGAGCAGUAUUAAUCCUGUUUGACCAGAACUAGGACAGAGUUAAAGCCCCUGGAGUAGAGAUCUGUUCUAUUAGCCCCAGCCUUUCUGUCUGCUUCUUGGCAUGGCUGUCUUUAUCAGUUGAGCCUCCAGCGUUAGCAGAUACCUAUAAGGGAAGACAGCCAGCCCUCACUAUGGAGGGCCAGAAAGAGAAAGCGCCAAGCAUUAGGAAAUGUCAAAGUAUCUCAGUACAUCCAGCCGAUUAGUGACAGAUAAGUCAAAAUUUGCAGCAACUAAAUAAAUCAAAAAGUAAGAAGAUUUUAAAAUAUGAUGUUUGAAAUAUUUGGCACAAUGCUUCAAAGUCACUGAAAAGCUAUCUCUUCACCCUAAUAGACGACAGAAAUUCAUUAUGUAAAUAGAAGAGGCUGCGUACAGUAGCCCAUGCCCAUAAUCUCAACACUUUUGGAGGCCAAGGUGGAAGGAUUACUUGAGGCCAGGAGAUCAAGACCAGCCUGAGCAACAUAGCAAGACAUCUUUUAAAAAAUUUUAAAAUUAGCCAGGUAUGGUGAUACGCAGCUGUAGUCCUAGCUACUCAGGAGGCUGAGGUGGGAGGAUUGCUUGAGGCCAGGAGUUCUAGGCUGCAGUGAACAGAGAUUGUGCCACUGCUUUCCAGCCUGGGCAACAGAGUAUAGAUGAUAGAUCGAUAAUAGAUAGUUGAUAGAUAAUAGAUAGUUGAUAGAUAGAUAAUAGAAAGCUGAUAGAUAGAUUAGAUGUAUAGUAGAACCCAUAGGGCAAAAAU